Mesocricetus auratus (golden hamster) is the source of this 984-nucleotide long non-coding RNA. RefSeq lists it as uncharacterized. The record is from RefSeq and is a predicted model, not a curated record. NCBI's taxonomy places the organism in Eukaryota, Metazoa, Chordata, Mammalia, Rodentia, Cricetidae. The transcript has 3 exons.
CCCUCCCUUCCCAUAGCUUACUGGGUGGUGUGGUGAGGGCUGUGCACUCCUCAUUCUCAGCUAAGGGUAUAAUUCCUGGGAACUCUAAGAAGGGCUGAGGAACAAAUCACACUGUGUGCUCAGAAGUUCUUUUGAGUUGGCCCCUUUUUGUUUUCUAGUUCUGGCACCCAGGAGCUCCUUGACGUCACUGCAUAAAACCCAGCAGGUCUACAGUUCCUGUGGCUGGUACUGCACCUGUUCCAUGAAAAGGAGACAACAUGACCUAGUACCCGAGGUUACAAUAGAGGAUGAGACCCACAAUGCUGUGCAUAUCCCUCAAAUGGACCAUCCUUACCACUCCCUUCUACCUGAGACACACAUACAUGCUGUCUCCUAAUAGCUUCUAUUAUAAAGAGCUGUCAUCGUCACCAAGAUGUAACUAACCAGAAAGCCCUUGAUCUGAUCUUCCAAGAAAUCGAGACAAGGCAGUGAACAACCACAUCAAAAAGAUGACCUUCAGGAGCCUGGAUUGUCCCCAGGUAGUUCCUCCUACCGUGCCUCUCAAGGGGAACAAUGACCAGCCUGCUUUUGUCCUCAGUUUCUGCUUCCGUCUCCCUCUUUCCACCCACCAAACCAAUUCUGCCUGCCUCACUGACGCACAUUCUGCUUCAGGGUUCUCAACCUGUGGGUCGCAACCCUUUGGGGCCUGAAUGACCCUUUCACACUGGGUUGAAUAUCAGAUAGCAUUCUUCCCCAGCCUUAUACUCUAGCCUCUCCCAGGCACCCCGAGGCCGCAUGUACUAAGGCAGAAUUGCAUACAACUGCUCACAACAGGUACAUGAUCAUCUCUGGCAAGCAAGCCCAGAUGGACUCUUGACAAUGGUCGCAGUCUGGCUUCCAGAGUGUUCCAUCCAACACUCAGCCUCCUGGGUGCUGAGGCUAAAGCGCCACCAUGCUAACUAGCAUUGUUUUUUGAGACAGAGAUUUUAGUAGCCCAAUCUGGCC